RNAcentral lists this ribosomal RNA (497 nucleotides) under uncultured bacterium. Its description in RNAcentral is "partial 16S ribosomal RNA". It matches the Rfam family "Bacterial small subunit ribosomal RNA", at positions 28 to 507 of the family's 1533-position model. The record is from RNAcentral.
GAUGAACGCUGGCGGCGUGCCUAAUACAUGCAAGUCGAGCGAACGGACGAGAAGCUUGCUUCUCUGAUGUUAGCGGCGGACGGGUGAGUAACACGUGGAUAACCUACCUAUAAGACUGGGAUAACUUCGGGAAACCGGAGCUAAUACCGGAGAAUAUUUUGAACCGCAUGGUUCAAAAGUGAAAUACGGUCUUGCUGUCACUUAUAGAUGGAUCCGUGCUGCAUUAGCUAGUUGGUAAGGUAACGGCUUACCAAGGCAACGAUGCAUAGCCGACCUGAGAGGGUGAUCGGCCACACUGGAACUGGGCCACGGUCCAGACUCCUACGGGAGGCAGCAGUAGGGAAUCUUCCGCAAUGGGCGAAAGCCUGACGGAGCAACGCCGCGUGAGUGAUGAAGGUCUUCGGAUCGUAAAACUCUGUUAUUAGGGAAGAACAUAUGUGUACGUAACUGUGCACAUCUUGACGGUACCUAAUCAGAAAGCCACGGCUAACUACGUG